This 460-nucleotide ribosomal RNA is filed under the name uncultured bacterium. RNAcentral's name for it is "partial 16S ribosomal RNA". It matches the Rfam family "Bacterial small subunit ribosomal RNA", at positions 338 to 795 of the family's 1533-position model. The record is from RNAcentral.
CCUACGGGAGGCUGCAGUGAGGAAUAUUGGUCAAUGGACGAGAGUCUGAACCAGCCAAGUAGCGUGAAGGAUGACUGCCCUAUGGGUUGUAAACUUCUUUUAUAUGGGAAUAAAAUGUUCCACGUGUGGGAUGUUGUAUGUACCAUAUGAAUAAGGAUCGGCUAACUCCGUGCCAGCAGCCGCGGUAAUACGGAGGAUCCGAGCGUUAUCCGGAUUUAUUGGGUUUAAAGGGAGCGUAGGUGGAUUGUUAAGUCAGUUGUGAAAGUUUGCGGCUCAACCGUAAAAUUGCAGUUGAAACUGGCAGUCUUGAGUACAGUAGAGGUGGGCGGAAUUCGUGGUGUAGCGGUGAAAUGCUUAGAUAUCGCGAAGAACUCCGAUUGCGAAGGCAGCUCACUGGACUGCAACUGACACUGAGGCUCGAAAGUGUGGGUAUCAAACAGGAUUAGAUACCCUUGUAGUC